CAGCAGGGAGGCCGGAGCAGAAUUCCUGGGGUAGUCAGAAGAGGGACUUUCAGGGUCUCACUAGGUGGUGCAGGCUGCCCUCACAGUACCUGGCACACAGCUGGAGCACAGCAAGAAUGUGAGACACCAAGGAAUGAAAGGGUUCACCCUCCAAGAAGCUGGGAGUCAGAGCCCUGUGUCCUCACCGAAUGUGAUGGCCUCAGGGGUGAAUCCAGCAGGUCACAGAUGAGGAUCCGCAGGCUGGAAGCGGGGAGCAGAGCGAGAAAGCGCAGGAUGGCUAAGAUCUCAGGCCAUAUGCUCACCGCCUGGCCUCCAAGCCCAGUGCCGCCAAUGGCGUGCUGGGUUACCUUGGGUAAGUAACUUCAUCUCUGUGAGUUUCCAUCUCUGAAAGGGAAGCCUUGAGAAUGUUAGGUUUUAUUAUUACCAGCUAUUUUUAAUGACAGUCUGAAGACUUGCCCUGCCCCAGUGGAUUAGCCAGUGUAGAAGCAUUUUGCAGUGGUCAUUUCUGAAUCGUCGCUCAUUCGGCCGUUUCCCUCAG
Molecule: long non-coding RNA, 538 nt
Filed under: Chinchilla lanigera (long-tailed chinchilla)
Lineage: Eukaryota; Metazoa; Chordata; Mammalia; Rodentia; Chinchillidae
Description: lncRNA (ENSCLAG00000026949.1)
Source: RNAcentral